RNAcentral lists this non-coding RNA (158 nucleotides) under uncultured Slackia sp. Its description in RNAcentral is "Lysine riboswitch". It matches the Rfam family "Lysine riboswitch aptamer". From Rfam's summary of the family: Riboswitches are metabolite binding domains within certain messenger RNAs that serve as precision sensors for their corresponding targets. The record is from RNAcentral. Lineage: Bacteria; Bacillati; Actinomycetota; Coriobacteriia; Eggerthellales; Eggerthellaceae.
AGGUAGAGGUGCGCCUUUCAUCAGUAACCUUGCAUCAACGCUGAGGCAAAGCGCAAGGCGAAAGGGAACGGCGCCGAAGGACGGCCGAAGCCUCACCGGUCGAUCCUGGGGCGCAGCGAAACACGCUGCGCACUGUCGCACAACGCGGAGAGCUGCCA